This 248-nucleotide long non-coding RNA is filed under the name Mytilus galloprovincialis (Mediterranean mussel). Lineage: Eukaryota; Metazoa; Mollusca; Bivalvia; Mytilida; Mytilidae. The record is from RNAcentral.
GAAAUAAUAAUUACUGUUUUACGUCUUAUUUUGUACUUCUUAUAAAGGGGGAUGCUGAUUGUGUAAGUCAAAAUAAAAGCACGUGUUCGACUUGUUAAACUUAGGUAAAUAAUUUGACAAAUGAAUCGUCUAUCUUCAGAUAAUAUUCUCCUGUCUGGUUUGUUGAUCUACCUGUACAAGCUCAGGUACAAGUGAUUAGCGAUCUUAAUCCGGAUAUCCUUCAGGCGUUAGAACUGUAUUGGAUUAUA